CCCCCUCACCCCCUCUCUCCAGCUGAAGAAGGACUACCUGGAUGGGCUCGGGGACACGCUGGACCUGGUGGUCAUCGGCGCCUACCUGGGCAAGGGCAAGCGUGCAGGCAUCUACGGGGGCUUCCUGCUGGCCUGCUACGACGAGGAGAGCGAGGAGUACCAGAGCAUCUGCAAGGUGCCCCCCUGGGGCCACCCGCGGGCUUGGGGACGUCGCAGGGGGCGACCUUCCCGAACCCUUCCUCGUCCUCCCGUGCAGAUCGGCACCGGUUUCACGGAGGAGAGCCUGGAGAAGCACUACGGCUUCCUCAAGGUGUGGAGCGCUGGAGAAGCGGCGCCGCGGGGGACGAGCGCCGGGGCCGGCUCCUGAUGCCCUCCCUUGGUGUCGCCCUCCAGGAGCACGUCCUGGCCCAGCCGCGUCCCUACUACCGCUGGGACAGCGGCGCGGCCCCCGACCGCUGGCUGGCGGCGGUGCAGGUCUGGGAGGUGAAGUGCGGGGACCUCUCCAUCUCCCCCGUCUAUAGGGCAGCCGUGGGGCUGGUGAGCGGGGCAGGAGGACGCGGGGCAGGGGGGGGGUCCUCGUGUUCGGCCCCCGUGGCGUCUCAGCCCUGCGGGUGUCCCCAAGGUGGACGAGGAGAAGGGCAUCUCGCUGCGCUUCCCCCGGUUCCUGCGUGUGCGGGAGGACAAGAAGCCGGAGGAGGCCACCAGCAGCACCCAGGUGGCCGAGCUGUACAAGAAGCAGCAGCAGAUCCAGAACCAGCAGCAGGCAGAGAAAGGGGAGGACGAGAAGUUUUACUGAGACACCACGGCCCCCGUAGGGUCCGUCCCCCCCCAGGGCCCCCCUACCGUGGGGGGGGGCACGAGGUGGGGACCCUGGGGCCUGACCUUGCUCUGUCCCUGAGGGCAUGCGCGUGGCUACCCUGGGGACGGGGACAGGGACCCUGGGACUUGGUGUCACCCCGGGCAGGGCCAGCUCCCUGCCCCUUUACCCCCACCCCCACCCCAAGACCCCCCCUGCCUCCCCCUUUUGGGGGCCCCUGCAUGCUUCCCAUCAGGGACAGGGAUGCUGGAACGCGGCCAUCCUCCGUCCCUGGUGUCCCCAUGUCCCCCUCCUCCGGCAAGGGGACCCCCAGGGCAUGA
This 1137-nucleotide long non-coding RNA is filed under the name Anser brachyrhynchus (Pink-footed goose). RNAcentral's name for it is "lncRNA (ENSABRG00000019154.1)". Lineage: Eukaryota; Metazoa; Chordata; Aves; Anseriformes; Anatidae. The record is from RNAcentral.